RNAcentral lists this ribosomal RNA (418 nucleotides) under uncultured bacterium. RNAcentral's name for it is "bacterial SSU rRNA". It matches the Rfam family "Bacterial small subunit ribosomal RNA", at positions 108 to 518 of the family's 1533-position model. The record is from RNAcentral.
GAGUAACACGUAUGACAACCUACCUUUAACAGGGGAAUAACCCGUUGAAAAACGGACUAAUACUCCAUAACGACAGGGGGUACCCGCAUGGGAAUAUUUGUUAAAGAUUAAUCGGUUGAAGAUGGGCAUGCGUUCCAUUAGCUUGUUGGUGAGGUAACGGCUCACCAAGGCCACGAUGGAUAGGGGAACUGAGAGGUUUAUCCCCCACACUGGAACUGAGACACGGUCCAGACUCCUACGGGAGGCAGCAGUGAGGAAUAUUGGUCAAUGGAGGCAACUCUGAACCAGCCAAGUCGCGUGAAAGGAUGAAGGUCUUAUGGAUUGUAAACUUCUUUUGCAAGGGAAUAAAGUGGGGGACGUGUCCUCCUUUGCAUGUACCUUGCGAAUAAGGAUCGGCUAACUCCGUGCCAGCCGCAGC